RNAcentral lists this ribosomal RNA (454 nucleotides) under uncultured organism. Its description in RNAcentral is "partial 16S ribosomal RNA". It matches the Rfam family "Bacterial small subunit ribosomal RNA", at positions 331 to 801 of the family's 1533-position model. The record is from RNAcentral.
GUACACUCCUACGGGAGGCAGCAGUGGGGAAUAUUGGACAAUGGGCGCAAGCCUGAUCCAGCCAUGCCGCGUGAGUGAUGAAGGCCCUAGGGUUGUAAAGCUCUUUCACCGGUGAAGAUAAUGACGGUAACCGGAGAAGAAGCCCCGGCUAACUUCGUGCCAGCAGCCGCGGUAAUACGAAGGGGGCUAGCGUUGUUCGGAUUUACUGGGCGUAAAGCGCACGUAGGCGGACUAUUAAGUCAGGGGUGAAAUCCCGGGGCUCAACCCCGGAACUGCCUUUGAUACUGGUAGUCUUGAGUUCGAGAGAGGUGAGUGGAAUUCCGAGUGUAGAGGUGAAAUUCGUAGAUAUUCGGAGGAACACCAGUGGCGAAGGCGGCUCACUGGCUCGAUACUGACGCUGAGGUGCGAAAGCGUGGGGAGCAAACAGGAUUAGAAACCCGUGUAGUCCCAUGAU